GGGGGAUUAACUCAGCGGGAGAGUGCUAUCUUCACACGGUAGAAGUCGCCAGUUCGAACCUGGCAUUCCCCACCA
RNAcentral lists this transfer RNA (75 nucleotides) under Clostridiaceae bacterium. RNAcentral's name for it is "tRNA-Val". It matches the Rfam family "tRNA". From Rfam's summary of the family: Transfer RNA (tRNA) molecules are approximately 80 nucleotides in length. Their secondary structure includes four short double-helical elements and three loops (D, anti-codon, and T loops). The record is from RNAcentral. Lineage: Bacteria; Bacillati; Bacillota; Clostridia; Eubacteriales; Clostridiaceae.